CGCGGCCUAUCAGCUUGUUGGUGAGGUAAUGGCUCACCAAGGCGUCGACGGGUAGCCGGCCUGAGAGGGUGACCGGCCACACUGGGACUGAGACACGGCCCAGACUCCUACGGGAGGCAGCAGUGGGGAAUAUUGCACAAUGGGCGGAAGCCUGAUGCAGCAACGCCGCGUGAGGGAUGACAGCCUUCGGGUUGUAAACCUCUUUUAGCAGGGAAGAAGCGAAAGUGACGGUACCUGCAGAAAAAGCGCCGGCUAACUACGUGCCAGCAGCCGCGGUAAUACGUAGGGCGCAAGCGUUAUCCGGAAUUAUUGGGCGUAAAGAGCUCGUAGGCGGUUUGUCGCGUCUGCUGUGAAAACCCGAGGCUCAACCUCGGGCCUGCAGUGGGUACGGGCAGACUAGAGUGCGGUAGGGGAGAUUGGAAUUCCUGGUGUGGCGGUGGAAUGCGCAGAUAUCAGGAGGAACACCGAUGGCGAAGGCAGAUCUCUGGGCCGUAACUGACGCUGAGGAGCGAAAGGGUGGGGAGCAAACAGGCUUAGAUACCCUGGUAGUCCACCCCGUAAACGUUGGGAACUAGUUGUGGGGUCCAUUCCACGGAUUCCGUGACGCAGCUAACGCAUUAAGUUCCCCGCCUGGGGAGUACGG
Molecule: ribosomal RNA, 643 nt
Filed under: uncultured bacterium
Lineage: Bacteria
Description: bacterial SSU rRNA
Rfam family: Bacterial small subunit ribosomal RNA
Source: RNAcentral